RNAcentral lists this ribosomal RNA (253 nucleotides) under uncultured bacterium. RNAcentral's name for it is "partial 16S ribosomal RNA". It matches the Rfam family "Bacterial small subunit ribosomal RNA", at positions 524 to 776 of the family's 1533-position model. The record is from RNAcentral.
UACGUAGGGUGCGAGCGUUGUCCGGAAUUAUUGGGCGUAAAGAGCUCGUAGGCGGUUUGUUACGUCUGCUGUGAAAUCCCGAGGCUCAACCUCGGGCCUGCAGUGGGUACGGGCAGACUGGAGUGCGGUAGGGGAGAAUGGAAUUCCUGGUGUAGCGGUGGAAUGCGCAGAUAUCAGGAGGAACACCGAUGGCGAAGGCAGUUCCCUGGGCCGUAACUGACGCUGAGGAGCGAAAGCGUGGGGAGCGAACAGG